UACGAAGGGGGCUAGCGUUGCUCGGAAUGACUGGGCGUAAAGGGCGCGUAGGCGGAUAGUUUAGUCAGAGGUAAAAGCCCAGGGCUCAACCUUGGAACUGCCUUUGAUACUGGCUAUCUUGAGUUCGGGAGAGGUGAGUGGAAUGCCGAGUGUAGAGGUGAAAUUCGUAGAUAUUCGCAAGAACACCAGUGGCGAAGGCGGCUCACUGGCCCGAUACUGACGCUGAGGUGCGAAAGCGUGGGGAGCAAACAGG
Molecule: ribosomal RNA, 253 nt
Filed under: uncultured bacterium
Lineage: Bacteria
Description: partial 16S ribosomal RNA
Rfam family: Bacterial small subunit ribosomal RNA
Source: RNAcentral